Molecule: ribosomal RNA, 405 nt
Filed under: uncultured bacterium
Lineage: Bacteria
Description: partial 16S ribosomal RNA
Rfam family: Bacterial small subunit ribosomal RNA
Source: RNAcentral
GAUGAACGCUGGCGGCGUGCCUAAUACAUGCAAGUCGAGCGAAGCGGGGACGGGUGAGUAACACGUGGAGAACCUCCUAUAAGACUGGGGUAACCUCGGGAAACCGGUGCUAAACCGGCUACUUAUAGCAGGAUCCGCGGUGCAUUAGCUAGUUGGGAAGGUAACGGCUUACAAAGGCAACGAUUCAUAGCCGACCUGGGCGGGUGAUCGGCCACACUGGAACUGAGACACGGUCCAGACUCCUACGGGAGGCAGCAGUGGGGAAUCUUCCGCAAUGGGCGCAAGCCUGACGGAGCCACGCCGCGUGAAUGAUGAAGGUCUUCGGGUCGUAAAACUCUGUUGUUAGCGAGGCGUUACCUAAACAGAAAGCACCGGCUAACUACGUGCCAGCAGCCGCGGUAAUAC